ACGUAGGGGGCAAGCGUUAUCCGGAAUUAUUGGGCGUAAAGAGUGCGUAGGUGGUUUUUUAAGCGUGAGGUGAAAGGCAAUAGCUUAACUAUUGUAAGCCUUGCGAACUGGAAGACUUGAGUGCAGGAGAGGAAAGUGGAAUUCCUAGUGUAGCGGUGUUAUGCGUAGAUAAUAGGAGGGGCGCCAGUGGCGAAGGCGAAUUAAUGAACUUUAACUGCCACUGAGGCAGGUGAGCGUAGCGAGCAAAAAG
Molecule: ribosomal RNA, 250 nt
Filed under: uncultured prokaryote
Description: partial 16S rRNA
Rfam family: Bacterial small subunit ribosomal RNA
Source: RNAcentral